Molecule: small nuclear RNA, 120 nt
Organism: Mercurialis annua (annual mercury)
Lineage: Eukaryota; Viridiplantae; Streptophyta; Magnoliopsida; Malpighiales; Euphorbiaceae
Product: U11 spliceosomal RNA
Exons: 1
Source: RefSeq, a predicted model, not a curated record
UACUCGGGUUGGUUCACUUCACACUCUCCCUUGUCUGGAGAGUGUCGUAUGGCUAUCAAGAUAUAUGGCCAACAUAAUUUAUGGAAUCUUGUAGGGUUGGUUCGUUGGGCCGACCCUCUU